GAAUGCUGACAUAAGUAACGAUAAAGCGGGUGAAAAGCCCGCUCGCCGGAAGACCAAGGGUUCCUGUCCAACGUUAAUCGGGGCAGGGUGAGUCGACCCCUAAGGCGAGGCCGAAAGGCGUAGUCGAUGGGAAACAGGUUAAUAUUCCUGUACUUGGUGUUACUGCGAAGGGGGGACGGAGAAGGCUAUGUCAGCCGGGCGACGGUUGUCCCGGUUUAAGCAUGUAGGCGGAGGUUCCAGGUAAAUCCGGUACCUUGUUAACGCUGAGGUGUGAUGACGAGGCACUACGGUGCUGAAGUGAUAAAUGCCCUGCUUCCAGGAAAAGCCUCUAAGCAUCAGGUAACACGAAAUCGUACCCCAAACCGACACAGGUGGUCAGGUAGAGAAUACCAAGGCGCUUGAGAGAACUCGGGUGAAGGAACUAGGCAAAAUGGUGCCGUAACUUCGGGAGAAGGCACGCUGAUAUGUAGGUGAAGUCCCUGCGGACGGAGCUGAAAUCAGUCGAAGAUACCAGCUGGCUGCAACUGUUUAUUAAAAACACAGCACUGUGCAAACACGAAAGUGGACGUAUACGGUGUGACGCCUGCCCGGUGCCGGAAGGUUAAUUGAUGGGGUUAGCGGCAACGCGAAGCUCUUGAUCGAAGCCCCGGUAAACGGCGGCCGUAACUAUAACGGUCCUAAGGUAGCGAAAUUCCUUGUCGGGUAAGUUCCGACCUGCACGAAUGGCGUAAUGAUGGCCAGGCUGUCUCCACCCGAGACUCAGUGAAAUUGAACUCGCUGUGAAGAUGCAGUGUACCCGCGGCAAGACGGAAAGACCCCGUGAACCUUUACUAUAGCUUGACACUGAACACUGGUCCUUGAUGUGUAGGAUAGGUGGGAGGCUUUGAAGCGUGGACGCCAGUCUGCGUGGAGCCAACCUUGAAAUACCACCCUUUAAUGGCUGGUGUUCUAACGUAGACCCGUAAUCCGGGUUGCGGACAGUGUCUGGUGGGUAGUUUGACUGGGGCGGUCUCCUCCCAAAGAGUAACGGAGGAGCACGAAGGUUGGCUAAUCCUGGUCGGACAUCAGGAGGUUAGUGCAAUGGCAUAAGCCAGCUUGACUGCGAGCGUGACGGCGCGAGCAGGUGCGAAAGCAGGUCAUAGUGAUCCGGUGGUUCUGAAUGGAAGGGCCAUCGCUCAACGGAUAAAAGGUACUCCGGGGAUAACAGGCUGAUACCGCCCAAGAGUUCAUAUCGACGGCGGUGUUUGGCACCUCGAUGUCGGCUCAUCACAUCCUGGGGCUGAAGUAGGUCCCAAGGGUAUGGCUGUUCGCCAUUUAAAGUGGUACGCGAGCUGGGUUUAGAACGUCGUGAGACAGUUCGGUCCCUAUCUGCCGUGGGCGCUGGAGAAUUGAGGGGGGCUGCUCCUAGUACGAGAGGACCGGAGUGGACGCAUCACUGGUGUUCGGGUUGUCAUGCCAAUGGCACU
Molecule: ribosomal RNA, 1466 nt
Filed under: Enterobacter hormaechei
Lineage: Bacteria; Pseudomonadati; Pseudomonadota; Gammaproteobacteria; Enterobacterales; Enterobacteriaceae
Description: partial 23S ribosomal RNA
Rfam family: Bacterial large subunit ribosomal RNA
Source: RNAcentral